RNAcentral lists this ribosomal RNA (461 nucleotides) under uncultured bacterium. RNAcentral describes it as "bacterial SSU rRNA". It matches the Rfam family "Bacterial small subunit ribosomal RNA", at positions 340 to 789 of the family's 1533-position model. The record is from RNAcentral.
UACGGGAGGCAGCAGUGGGGAAUAUUGCACAAUGGGCGAAAGCCUGAUGCAGCUAUGCCGCGUGUAUGAAGAAGGCCUUAGGGUUGUAAAGUACUUUCAUCGGGGAGGAAAAAACAAAACUAAUAAUUUUAUUUCUUGACGUUACCCGAAAAAGAAGCACCGGCUAACUCCGUGCCAGCAGCCGCGGUAAUACGGAGGGUGCUAGCGUUAAUCAGAAUUACUGGGCGUAAAGAGCACGUAGGUGGUUUUUUUAAGUCAGAUGUGAAAUCCCUGGGCUUUAACCUAGGAACUGCAUUUUGAAACUGAAAUACUAGAGUAUCGUAGAGGGAGGUAGAAUUCUAGGUGUAGCGGUGAAAUGCGUAGAUAUCUGGAGGAAUACCUGUGGCGAAAGCGGCCUCCUAAACGAAUACUGACACUGAGGGUGCGAAAGCGUGGGGAGCAAACAGGGAUUAGAUACCCGU